GCACAGCAACGGGUGGAGCGUGCGGUUUAAUUGGAUUCAACGCCGGAAAACUCACCGGAGGCGACGGUUACAUGAAGGCCAGGCUGAUGACCUUGCCUGAUUUUCCGAGAGGUGGUGCAUGGCCGCCGUCAGUUCGUACCGUAAGGCGUUCUGUUAAGUCAGACAACGAACGAGACCCUCAUCUUUAAUUGCUACUGGUAAGUCCGCUUAUCAGGCACAUUGAGGAAACCGCUGGCGAUAAGUCAGAGGAAGGUGAGGGCAACGGUAGGUCAGUAUGCCCUGAAUCCUCCGGGCUACACGCGCGCUACAAAGGCUAGGACAAUGGGUUUCAACACCGAAAGGUGAAGGUAAUCUCGAAACCUAGUCGUAGUUCGGAUUGAGGGUUGAAACUCACCCUCAUGAAACUGGAAUCCGUAGUAAUCGCGGAUCAACAUCCCGCGGUGAAUAUGCCCCUGCUCCUUGCACACACCGCCCGUCAAACCAUGCGAGUUGGGUCUGAGUGAGGAUGUAGUUUUUGCUACAUUCAAACUUAGGCUUAGUAAGCGGGGUU
RNAcentral lists this ribosomal RNA (550 nucleotides) under uncultured archaeon. RNAcentral's name for it is "bacterial SSU rRNA". It matches the Rfam family "Archaeal small subunit ribosomal RNA", at positions 876 to 1429 of the family's 1478-position model. The record is from RNAcentral.